RNAcentral lists this ribosomal RNA (425 nucleotides) under uncultured beta proteobacterium. RNAcentral describes it as "bacterial SSU rRNA". It matches the Rfam family "Bacterial small subunit ribosomal RNA", at positions 356 to 774 of the family's 1533-position model. The record is from RNAcentral. Lineage: Bacteria; Pseudomonadati; Pseudomonadota; Betaproteobacteria.
GGGGAAUUUUGGACAAUGGGGGCAACCCUGAUCCAGCCAUGCCGCGUGAGUGAAGAAGGCCUUCGGGUUGUAAAGCUCUUUCGGACGGAAAGAAAUCGCCGCCUCUAACAUAGGCGGUGGAUGACGGUACCGUAAGAAGAAGCACCGGCUAACUACGUGCCAGCAGCGCGGUAAUACGUAGGGUGCGAGCGUUAAUCGGAAUUACUGGGCGUAAAGCGUGCGCAGGCGGUUUGGUAAGACAGGUGUGAAAUCCCCGGGCUUAACCUGGGAACUGCGCUUGUGACUGCCAGGCUAGAGUACGGCAGAGGGGGGUGGAAUUCCACGUGUAGCAGUGAAAUGCGUAGAGAUGUGGAGGAACACCGAUGGCGAAGGCGACCACCUGGACUGAUACUGACACUGAGGUGCGAAAGCGUGGGGAGCAAACA